Molecule: unclassified non-coding RNA, 421 nt
Filed under: soil metagenome
Description: partial contains 5.8S ribosomal RNA, internal transcribed spacer 2, and large subunit ribosomal RNA
Rfam family: 5.8S ribosomal RNA (bases 1-120)
Source: RNAcentral
GAUGAAGAACGUAGCGAAAUGCGAUACGUAAUGUGAAUUGCAGAAUUCAGUGAAUCAUCGAAUCUUUGAACGCAUAUUGCGCUCUUUGGUAUUCCGAAGAGCAUGCUUGUUUGAGUAUCAGUAAACACCUCAACCUCUUCUUGAUUUUUCAAAAGGAGAGUGGACUUGAGCUAUCCCAACAACCUUUACCGGUCGGCGGGCGGCUUGAAAUGCAGGUGCAGCUGGACUUUUAUCUGAGCUAAAAGCAUAUCUAUUUAGUCCUCGUCAAACAGGAUUAUUACUUUUGCUGCAGCUAACAUAAAGGAUAAUUGUCCUCUUUGCUGACUGAUGCAGGAUUUUACGACACUUUAUGUGUUGUUCAACUCGAUCUCAAAUCAAGUAAGCCUACCCGCUGAACUUAAGCAUAUCAAUAAGCGGAGGA